This is a small nucleolar RNA of Neoarius graeffei (lesser salmon catfish), 68 nucleotides long. RefSeq annotates it as small nucleolar RNA SNORD58. NCBI's taxonomy places the organism in Eukaryota, Metazoa, Chordata, Actinopteri, Siluriformes, Ariidae. The transcript has a single exon. The record is from RefSeq and is a predicted model, not a curated record.
CUGCAAUGAUGACGACUUAGGACACCUUUUGGAUUAAUACUGAAAAGAAUUGCAUUGUCCUGAGCAGC